This 478-nucleotide ribosomal RNA is filed under the name uncultured bacterium. RNAcentral's name for it is "bacterial SSU rRNA". It matches the Rfam family "Bacterial small subunit ribosomal RNA", at positions 335 to 802 of the family's 1533-position model. The record is from RNAcentral.
ACUCCUACGGUGGAGGCAGUCAGGGUGGGAAUAUUGCACAAUGGGCGCAAGCCUGAUGCAGCCAUGCCGCGUGUGUGAAGAAGGCCUUCGGGUUGUAAAGCACUUUCAGUCGUGAGGAAGGUAGUGUAGUUAAUAGCUGCAUUAUUUGACGUUAGCGACAGAAGAAGCACCGGCUAACUCCGUGCCAGCAGCCGCGGUAAUACGGAGGGUGCGAGCGUUAAUCGGAAUUACUGGGCGUAAAGCGCAUGCAGGUGGUUUGUUAAGUCAGAUGUGAAAGCCCGGGGCUCAACCUCGGAAUUGCAUUUGAAACUGGCAGACUAGAGUACUGUAGAGGGGGGUAGAAUUUCAGGUGUAGCGGUGAAAUGCGUAGAGAUCUGAAGGAAUACCGGUGGCGAAGGCGGCCCCCUGGACAGAUACUGACACUCAGAUGCGAAAGCGUGGGGAGCAAACAGGAUUAGAUACCCUGGUAGCUACGAGU